GGCACGCAGCCCUGAGGACUGAGGGUGUCAGCGCAGCCGGGCUGCCGGGCAGCCGUGAGGUUUUUGUACGCCCCGUAACGGGGCCCUUGGCAAUGUGAUAACUUUGAAUACUGGGGCCAGGGGACCCUGGUCACCGUCUCCUCAGAGCCCAAAACCAGCCCCACUGUCUUCCCGCUGGGCCUCUGCAGUGCUGACUCAGCCAAGUACGUGGUCAUCGCCUGCCUGGUGCAGGGAUUCUUCCCGCCGGGGCCCGUGCAGGUGACCUGGAGCCCCAGCAACGAGAACGCGACCAUCAGCAACUUCCCCCCCGUGAAGGCCGAGUCGGGGGCCUUGUACACCAUGAGCAGCCAGCUGACCCUGCCAGCCAACCAGUGCCCUGACAACUCGGUCCUGAAGUGCCAAGUGCAGCACUCUUCCAACACCCUCCCACCUGUGUCUGUGCCCUGCAAAGUUCCAGAUCCAUGUCCAGUUGUUCCCCCUUGUAAGUGUCCCUCGUGCGACCAGCCCCGCCUGGCACUACGCCAGCCCGCCCUCGAGGAUCUGCUUCUGGGCUCCAACGCCAGCCUCACGUGCACACUGAGUGGCCUGAAAGACCCCACGGGAGCCUCCUUCAACUGGGAUCCUUCAGGCGGGAAGAACGCCAUCCAGAGGAGCCCUGAGCGAGACUCGUGCGGCUGCUACAGCGUGACCAGUGUGCUGCCGGGCUGUGCGGAGCAGUGGAACCGUGGGGACACCUUCUCCUGCAUGGCCACCCACCCUGAGUCCAAGAGCUCAUUAACCGCCACCAUCAAGAAACUCACAGGAAACACCUUCCGGCCCCAGGUCCACCUGCUCCCGCCGCCGUCGGAGGAGCUGGCCCUCAACGAGCUGGUGUCCCUGACAUGCUUUGUGAGGGGUUUCAGCCCCGAGGACGUGCUGAUCCGCUGGCUGCAGGGCACCCAGGAGCUGCCCCCAGAGAAGUACGUGACCUGGAAGCCCCUGAAGGAGCCCGGCCAGAGCGUCCCCACCUUCUCCGUGACCAGCGUGCUGCGGGUAGACGCCGAGGCCUGGAAGCAGGGAGACAAGUUCUCCUGCAUGGUGGGCCACGAGGCCCUGUCCCUGUCCUUCACCCAGAAGACCAUCGACCGCCUGGCGGGUAAACCCACCCACGUCAACGUGUCUGUGGUCAUGGCAGAGGUGGACGGCGUCUGCUACUGAAACGCCCGCCCGCCCCUCCCUGAAUAAACUCCAUGUUUGCCCGGAGCA
Non-coding RNA from Ailuropoda melanoleuca (giant panda), 1245 nucleotides. The record is from the annotation of a RefSeq genome assembly. NCBI's taxonomy places the organism in Eukaryota, Metazoa, Chordata, Mammalia, Carnivora, Ursidae.